This 127-nucleotide small RNA is filed under the name Marmota monax (woodchuck). The record is from RNAcentral. Lineage: Eukaryota; Metazoa; Chordata; Mammalia; Rodentia; Sciuridae.
GCUGGGCACAGUGGUGAAUGCCUGUAAUCCCAAUGGCUCAGGAGGCUGAGGCAGGAGGAUCACAAGUUUAAGGCCACUUUGGGUAAUUUAGCAAGGCCCUCAACAACUUUUCGAGAACCUAUCUCAA